This 411-nucleotide long non-coding RNA is filed under the name Homo sapiens (human). RNAcentral's name for it is "HSALNT0392874". Lineage: Eukaryota; Metazoa; Chordata; Mammalia; Primates; Hominidae. The record is from RNAcentral.
CCUGUCUGUCAACCCCACACACGCUUUCCCAGUUUCAUUUUAGACGUCUCCUGAAAGCUGAGCAUUUGUUAUCUUAAAGCCUCUUACCAGUUUGGAUAGAUAUGGAUCUUCCAAAAUUAAUGAGCUCCUUAAUAUCGACACUGUUUAUCAACAUAAAGGAUCAAUUUAGGAAGAUUAUAAAAACUGAAGUUUCCGGAACAAUAAAUGGGAGAAUUAAUCUUCUGAAUCAAGGACGUAUCCCUGAAUCUGGGGAGCUCUCUAUCAAAAUAUACAUGCUGGAACCCUACCAAAGGAAUAAUAAAUCUGGAAUGAGGCUCUGACUGUCUAAUUAGGAAAAGACUCCUUCCUGGAAUUCUGCACAUCUCCCUACACCUUAGUGACGGUUAAAUAAAUAAUUAUUAAGCUUCUGGA